CAAACGGUGCUGUGGAAAGGAUUAGGAGCUUUAAAAGCUAUGGAAGAAGAGCACUCACAAUCAUGCUUGGAUAUAAGAAUCCUGAAAGGUGGGAUAAAAGGAGAAUUGUCUCAAUGGACAUCUCAUUAAGGUCUUUUGAUUAAAUUUUGCGUAGACAAAUUUGCAAAUAAUCAGCCCCUCAAGUCUCAAGUUUGUUUCACUAGGCCGCAAUGUGUAUUUUUCGUUUCAGGU
Molecule: unclassified non-coding RNA, 231 nt
Filed under: Hevea brasiliensis (rubber tree)
Lineage: Eukaryota; Viridiplantae; Streptophyta; Magnoliopsida; Malpighiales; Euphorbiaceae
Source: RNAcentral